GAUGAACGCUGGCGGCGUGCUUAACACAUGCAAGUCGAACGGAAAGGCUCCUGCUUGCAGGGGUACUCGAGUGGCGAACGGGUGAGUAACACGUGGGUGAUCUGCCCUGCACUUCGGGAUAGGCCUGGGAAACUGGGUCUAAUACCGGAUAGGACCACAUUUUGGAUGGUGUGGUGGAAAGUUUUUCGGUGUGGGAUGAGCUCGCGGCCUAUCAGCUUGUUGGUGGGGUAAUGGCCUACCAAGGCGUCGACGGGUAGCCGGCCUGAGAGGUGGUACGGCCACAUUGGGACUGAGAUACGGCCCAGACUCCUACGGGAGGCAGCAGUGGGGAAUAUUGCACAAUGGGCGCAAGCCUGAUGCAGCGACGCCGCGUGGGGGAUGACGGCCUUCGGGUUGUAAACUCCUUUCGCUAGGGACGAAGCGCAAGUGACGGUACCUGGAGAAGAAGCACCGGCUAACUACGUG
RNAcentral lists this ribosomal RNA (465 nucleotides) under uncultured bacterium. RNAcentral's name for it is "partial 16S ribosomal RNA". It matches the Rfam family "Bacterial small subunit ribosomal RNA", at positions 28 to 507 of the family's 1533-position model. The record is from RNAcentral.